UCUCACUCGACAAUGAAAACUUGGAAAGCGUGCGGCACCCAAGUCCUCAGGUUUUCGACACCGGGCAAGCUGAGGAAAAAGAAGUCAGAAACCAUGCGAGUCACGUACCUGGUUAUGUGUGCCAUGAUAGUAGUGGACGCGACACCGACAAAUAUAAAAUACGUUUCAUGUAAAACAAGAGUAAAUGAGUGCGGUUCAAGGAAUAAGCCAAACUGCCUCAUAAAAAAUGGGCAUCCCAUUCCCUUCUUCGAAUGCUCCCCGAGAAAUAGACCAUGUUUCUUCUCGUGGUCUAAACAAUGCCAAGAUUUCACUAGCUUUUGUUGCUCACAACGCUCGGACUACUGUGACUGCCGAUGUGGUA
Dermacentor silvarum is the source of this 361-nucleotide long non-coding RNA. RefSeq lists it as uncharacterized. The record is from RefSeq and is a predicted model, not a curated record. NCBI's taxonomy places the organism in Eukaryota, Metazoa, Arthropoda, Arachnida, Ixodida, Ixodidae. The transcript is spliced from 4 exons.